Pteropus vampyrus (large flying fox) is the source of this 113-nucleotide ribosomal RNA. The record is from Ensembl. Lineage: Eukaryota; Metazoa; Chordata; Mammalia; Chiroptera; Pteropodidae.
GUUUACAGCCAUACCACCCUGAACGUGCCCAAUCUCGUCUGAUCUCAGAAGCUAAGCAGGGUCGGGCCUGGUUAGUACUUAGAUGGGAGAACAAAUAUAGAGGGUUAAAAUCA